Molecule: long non-coding RNA, 330 nt
Filed under: Falco tinnunculus (common kestrel)
Lineage: Eukaryota; Metazoa; Chordata; Aves; Falconiformes; Falconidae
Description: lncRNA (ENSFTIG00000010040.1)
Source: RNAcentral
AUGAUGAGCAUGAAAAAAAAAAUGUUUGAAAAAGAGAAUGAGGAUUUCAAAGAAGAGGUUUUUAAACUGCACAAUGAGAUUUCGCGUCUCGAAAAUGCUCUGAAACACUCUGAAAAAAGAAACUAUUUAUUAGAUAAGCAAGUUCAAAGAAUGCGGUCAAAAAUGGACACAGAUGAGCAACUGUUCAAAAGGUUUGGCAAUGCUCAGGAAUCCCACUUAAGUUUGAAGUCUCAUUAUGUUGGAAAGAAAGGGCCAGUCAUCUGUUCCUGUACUGAACGUUUCUUCUUAGUUCAUUUGCAAAGUCGAAAGCGUAUUUUUAAUGUUGAUUGA